RNAcentral lists this long non-coding RNA (241 nucleotides) under Lathyrus oleraceus (garden pea). RNAcentral describes it as "Pisum sativum (pea) long non-coding RNA (PSAT_LNC024708)". The record is from RNAcentral. Lineage: Eukaryota; Viridiplantae; Streptophyta; Magnoliopsida; Fabales; Fabaceae.
UUAUCCGUACAUGCUUCAUAGCAGAGUGACCUGUUAGUGAUUAUGAUCCAAACAUGGGGUUCUUGGCACAUAAAUUUGUGUAAACCCUUUUAUUUGACCCAACUGCAGUUGUGGGGGAUCAGAUCGUAAUCCGCCCUACCGAGUUUAGCACCAUAUACCUCUGAACCAACUAACAGCGGGUGAGUUUUUUCUUUUUUUCUUUUUCUUUUGUAGCAGAUUUUUACAACAUUUUUGGUUUAAA